GACGUAGGGCGCGAGCGUUGUCCGGAUUUAUUGGGCGUAAAGAGCUCGUAGGCGGCUUGUCGCGUCGUCCGUGAAAACCUGCAGCUCAACUGCAGGCUUGCGGUCGAUACGGGCAGGCUAGAGUUCGGUAGGGGAGACUGGAAUUCCUGGUGUAGCGGUGAAAUGCGCAGAUAUCGUAAGGAAGACCAGUGGCGAAGGCGGGUCUCUGGACAGUUCCUGACGCUGAGGCACGAAGGCCAGGGGAGCAAACGGG
This 253-nucleotide ribosomal RNA is filed under the name uncultured bacterium. RNAcentral describes it as "partial 16S ribosomal RNA". It matches the Rfam family "Bacterial small subunit ribosomal RNA", at positions 524 to 776 of the family's 1533-position model. The record is from RNAcentral.